This 776-nucleotide ribosomal RNA is filed under the name uncultured organism. Its description in RNAcentral is "SSU rRNA". It matches the Rfam family "Bacterial small subunit ribosomal RNA", at positions 28 to 804 of the family's 1533-position model. The record is from RNAcentral.
GAUGAACGCUGGCGGCGUGCCUAACACAUGCAAGUCGAACGAAGCGAUUUAACGGAAGUUUUCGGAUGGAAGUUGAAUUGACUGAGUGGCGGACGGGUGAGUAACGCGUGGGUAACCUGCCUUGUACUGGGGGACAACAGUUAGAAAUGACUGCUAAUACCGCAUAAGCGCACAGUAUCGCAUGAUACAGUGUGAAAAACACCGGUGGUACAAGAUGGACCCGCGUCUGAUUAGCUAGUUGGUAAGGUAACGGCUUACCAAGGCGACGAUCAGUAGCCGACCUGAGAGGGUGACCGGCCACAUUGGGACUGAGACACGGCCCAAACUCCUACGGGAGGCAGCAGUGGGGAAUAUUGCACAAUGGGCGAAAGCCUGAUGCAGCGACGCCGCGUGAGUGAGGAAGUAUUUCGGUAUGUAAAGCUCUAUCAGCAGGGAAGAAAAUGACGGUACCUGACUAAGAAGCCCCGGCUAACUACGUGCCAGCAGCCGCGGUAAUACGUAGGGGGCAAGCGUUAUCCGGAUUUACUGGGUGUAAAGGGAGCGUAGACGGUAAAGCAAGUCUGAAGUGAAAGCCCGCGGCUCAACUGCGGGACUGCUUUGGAAACUGUUUAACUGGAGUGUCGGAGAGGUAAGUGGAAUUCCUAGUGUAGCGGUGAAAUGCGUAGAUAUUAGGAGGAACACCAGUGGCGAAGGCGACUUACUGGACGAUAACUGACGUUGAGGCUCGAAAGCGUGGGGAGCAAACAGGAUUAGAUACCCUGGUAGUCCACGCCGUA